Molecule: ribosomal RNA, 490 nt
Filed under: uncultured bacterium
Lineage: Bacteria
Description: partial 16S ribosomal RNA
Rfam family: Bacterial small subunit ribosomal RNA
Source: RNAcentral
CUUUCCCUCUUUCUUCAGGCCUAACACAUGCAAGUCGAACGGUAACAGGAAGAAGCUUGCUUCUUUGCUGACGAGUGGCGGACGGGUGAGUAAUGUCUGGGAAACUGCCUGAUGGAGGGGGAUAACUACUGGAAACGGUAGCUAAUACCGCAUAACGUCGCAAGACCAAAGAGGGGGACCUUCGGGCCUCUUGCCAUCGGAUGUGCCCAGAUGGGAUUAGCUAGUAGGUGGGGUAACGGCUCACCUAGGCGACGAUCCCUAGCUGGUCUGAGAGGAUGACCAGCCACACUGGAACUGAGACACGGUCCAGACUCCUACGGGAGGCAGCAGUGGGGAAUAUUGCACAAUGGGCGCAAGCCUGAUGCAGCCAUGCCGCGUGUAUGAAGAAGGCCUUCGGGUUGUAAAGUACUUUCAGCGGGGAGGAAGGGAGUAAAGUUAAUACCUUGGCUCAUUGACGUUACCCGCAGAAGAAGCACCGGCUAACUCCGUG